GCCUCCCUCUGGCGGCGUGCUUAACACAUGCAAGUCGAACGGUAAGGCUCCAGCUUGCUGGGGUACACGAGUGGCGAACGGGUGAGUAACACGUGGGUGACCUGCCCUGCACUUCGGGAUAAGCCUGGGAAACUGGGUCUAAUACCGGAUAGGACCGCACCGUGAGGGUGUGGUGGAAAGUUUUUUCGGUGUGGGAUGGGCCCGCGGCCUAUCAGCUUGUUGGUGGGGUAAUGGCCUACCAAGGCGGCGACGGGUAGCCGGCCUGAGAGGGUGGACGGCCACAUUGGGACUGAGACACGGCCCAGACUCCUACGGGAGGCAGCAGUGGGGAAUAUUGCACAAUGGGCGGAAGCCUGAUGCAGCGACGCCGCGUGGGGGAUGACGGCCUUCGGGUUGUAAACUCCUUUCACCAUCGACGAAGGGUUUCUGACGGUAGAUGGAGAAGAAGCACCGGCUAACUACGUG
RNAcentral lists this ribosomal RNA (465 nucleotides) under uncultured bacterium. RNAcentral's name for it is "partial 16S ribosomal RNA". It matches the Rfam family "Bacterial small subunit ribosomal RNA", at positions 34 to 507 of the family's 1533-position model. The record is from RNAcentral.